This 380-nucleotide ribosomal RNA is filed under the name uncultured eukaryote. Its description in RNAcentral is "partial 18S ribosomal RNA". It matches the Rfam family "Eukaryotic small subunit ribosomal RNA", at positions 592 to 976 of the family's 1831-position model. The record is from RNAcentral.
CAAUAGCGUAUAUUAAAGUUGUUGCAGUUAAAAAGCUCGUAGUUGGAUUUGUGGCGUACGGUGUGUUCCGGGCACUUGUUGUCUGGGUAACCUGCUGUUGCCAUCCUUGGGUGGAACCUGUGUGGCAUUAGGUUGUCGUGCAGGGGAUGCCCAUCAUUUACUGUGAAAAAAUUAGAGUGUUCAAAGCAGGCUUAUGCCGUUGAAUAUAUUAGCAUGGAAUAAUGAGAUAGGACUUUUUUGCUAUUUUGUUAGUUUGCGCAAAGAGGUAAUGAUUAAUAGGGACAGUUGGGGGUAUUCGUAUUCCAUUGUCAGAGGUGAAAUUCUUGGAUUUUUGGAAGACGAACUACUGCGAAAGCAUUUACCAAGGACGUUUUCAUUAA